CGGGGGAGCAAGCGUUGUUCGGAUUUACUGGGCGUAAAGGGCGCGUAGGCGGCGCAACAAGUCACUUGUGAAAUCUCCGGGCUUAACCCGGAGCGGCCAAGUGAUACUGUCGUGCUAGAGUGCGGAAGGGGCUACUGGAAUUCUCGGUGUAGCGGUGAAAUGCGUAGAUAUCGAGAGGAACACCUGCGGCGAAGGCGGGUAGCUGGGCCGACACUGACGCUGAGGCGCGAAAGCCAGGGGAGCGAACGGGAUUAGAUACCCCGGUAGUCCUGGCCUUAAACGAUGGAUGCUUGGUGUCCGGGGUUACAUAGUCCCCGGGUACCGGCGCUAACGCAUUAAGCAUCCCGCCUGGGGAGUACGGUCGCAAGACUG
This 372-nucleotide ribosomal RNA is filed under the name uncultured organism. RNAcentral describes it as "bacterial SSU rRNA". It matches the Rfam family "Bacterial small subunit ribosomal RNA", at positions 527 to 896 of the family's 1533-position model. The record is from RNAcentral.